Molecule: transfer RNA, 54 nt
Filed under: Quedenfeldtia moerens
Lineage: Eukaryota; Metazoa; Chordata; Lepidosauria; Squamata; Sphaerodactylidae
Description: partial tRNA-Cys
Source: RNAcentral
CCAAAGUGCAAAUUUGGAGACACACCCUAAAGGGUGUCGGGGCCUUCUCCCUUU